UUAUGGCCAUAUCACAUUGAAACACUGGUUCUCAUACAAACAUGGAAGUUAAGCAAUGUGGAGCCUGGUCAGUACCUAGAUGGGUGACUAUUUGGGAAUACCAGGUGCU
Non-coding RNA from Acanthosepion pharaonis, 109 nucleotides. The record is from the annotation of a GenBank genome assembly. Lineage: Eukaryota; Metazoa; Mollusca; Cephalopoda; Sepiida; Sepiidae.